GACGAACGCUGGCGGCGUGCCUAAUACAUGCAAGUAGAACGCACAGUUUAUACCGUAGCUUGCUACACCAUAGACUGUGAGUUGCGAACGGGUGAGUAACGCGUAGGUAACCUGCCUGGUAGCGGGGGAUAACUAUUGGAAACGAUAGCUAAUACCGCAUAAUAUUGAUUAUUGCAUGAUAAUUAAUUGAAAGGUGCAAUUGCACCACUACCAGAUGGACCUGCGUUGGAUUAGCUAGUAGGUGAGGUAACGGCUCACCUAGGCGACGAUACAUAGCCGACCUGAGAGGGUGAGCGGCCACACUGGGACUGAGACACGGCCCAGACCCCUACGGGAGGCAGCAGUAGGGAAUCUUCGGCAAUGGACGAAAGUCGGACCGAGCAACGCCGCGUGAGGGAAGAAGGUUUUCGGAUCGUAAAGCUCUGUUGUAAGAGAAGAACGGGUGUGAGAGUGGAAAGUUCACACUGUGACGGUAUCUUACCAGAAAGAGACGGCUAACUACGUG
Molecule: ribosomal RNA, 505 nt
Filed under: uncultured bacterium
Lineage: Bacteria
Description: partial 16S ribosomal RNA
Rfam family: Bacterial small subunit ribosomal RNA
Source: RNAcentral